Molecule: long non-coding RNA, 18697 nt
Organism: Poecilia reticulata (guppy)
Lineage: Eukaryota; Metazoa; Chordata; Actinopteri; Cyprinodontiformes; Poeciliidae
Source: RefSeq, a predicted model, not a curated record
AUCGAACCCAGAACCUUCUUGCUGCAAGGCAACAGCUCUACCAACUGCGCCACUGUGCAGCCCAAAACUAUAUUACCUCCCAAAAUGUCCUCCAACAUAGCAUACCACAAGCAAAAACUAACACCAUUUGCUGGGAUCAAUUAGGCUGAUUGGCUGAGGCUCCAUCUUGGCCAGCCCAGGGGGCUGGCAGCUGUGGACAACUUGUCCAAUUAAGUGAGCACAAGAACUUGCCAAUAAUGGGUGAAUAAUGGGCCUUAAGAGAAGCGUGAUUCAUCUCCAGUGUGCAGCGACAGCAAGUCAGUUGUUCAAUGUGUGAAAACCAUAGAUUUCUCUUUUCAGAUCCCAAUCAAUAUCCUCCCUCCCAUGGCUUUGACAAUGGGCUUAAUGAAGGAUUAGACCAUAAAGAUGUUGGCAUCCCGGGUUGAUGCCAAUAGUUAUGUUCAUACCCGCUCGCCGAAUGCGCAGUGUCCAAAUGUCAACACCUGCUCCCCUGAAAAGAUGGAAACAAUCAGGCAGCGGUUGGUAUUAAACCCUACAAAGGCCUAGGCUGCUCCAAUUAGAUGAUGUUAGACUGUUAGGCAGCAGCGUCUGAUGAGUGUCUCCACCACGCACUAAUAUGACAAGCUUUUCCUCAUUGUAUCAACGUUGAUGGGAAAACAAUAUAAAAAGACUGGCAAUGAUGAUGAGCUUCUUAAACUGACUUAACAUUAAAUUACCACACUGACUCAAGACUUGCUCAGCGGGGAGGGAGGCCGAGGGGGGGGGUGAAUUUCAGUAAAAAGGUCGAAUGCAGCAACUCUUUUAUCCACGUUUUUUUUUUUUCUCUGAUUUCCCUCUUUAUGUCGUGAAUAAUAGUCAAUAAGUAGUUGAAAGGCUCUAAUUUCCUCUGACAUCACAUCCAGUGCUGAUCUCCCUCCCCUCGCUUUCACACUCUGUCCUCCUUUUGUGUCUUGCACGACCAGGUUUCUUAAUGUCACAUGUAAGGAGCUGCAAUUUAAAGGCAACUGGCAGUUGAGCGUUUAAUGUCCUACCUGUCAAAUGACUGCCGGCGGUAAUGUAGGAGGCCAGGAAUGGGAGAUAACUUAAAAUGAGAUUUAAAGACGAGCUUGAAAAACUUUAUGUUGCAGUACACUUUUAUUGGGAUUUUAUGCGAUAGACCAACACAAAGCAGUGCAUAAUUAUGGAAUUAAGAGGGACUUAUAUUGGCACUGAUGUUUUUUUAAAAGCUUGGACCUUCUGAUAAGCUUUCUUGUUUCUUGCCACCAAUACGUUUCAGUGUGGACAUGGUGCUUUCGAACUUAAAAGUGGCUUUUGACUUGCCAAAUUCUCCAACCUAACCUCCGGACUUCUUCAGCUUAUCCAGUUACCAUGGUUACAUCUUAGCUGCUUCUUUGGUUAAUGAUCUUCUUGUCCACCCAGUCAUUUUAAGGUAGAUGGCCUUGUCUUGGUAGGUUUAACCACUGACUUUCAACUUCAUAAGUCAUGUUGGUCUAUAAUAGCCAAAAAAGGACAUUGAGGUAUAUGACAAAAAAAGGGUCAAGUUCACCUGUGCAUCAAUAGUUUUGCAAGGGACUGUAAAUGCCAAAACCCCCAGCUUUGAUUCAUUUUUCCUUAUAAUUUAUACUUCUGUGACGCCAAGCAGUGAUGCCAGAGAGGCAAGAAACACCACCACAAAAGAUGAUACCCAUAAAGUGUCAUCGCAUUGUCCAAUUCAAGCCGGCCAUCAGUCCCUUCUCAACUUGAUAUUUCUUCCCUCUCCUGAUUCCCCUCUACCUCCCAGCUGUCUGUCUCCGUCGAAGCGUGCACACGGCACAUUGGGGUCACCAACAACAUGGAUGACAUUAAUACGGAAUGCACACUUGUGUGACCACGCAACCACUCCCCCGUGAACACAUUCCCUCGCCGAUACCUGGGCUGUCAAUCACAGACCUGGCCUGAGAAAUGUGUGCAUCGCCGGUCCAACAAGAUGACAAAAAUCUGUGCUACUGCAAACCCCUCCUAAUCUCCUCUGAUUCCGCUCAGACUUUUCUGCUUUUUUGGAACAUUGCAUAAUUGUUUGCUCCGUUGAGGCAACAUUUCAGUCUGCCAGUGCAUAAUUAUCUCAAAGUAACUUUGCUGAUUUAAAACUUGUGCGAAGGAGGAGGUUGAGAGAGGCAAACCAGAGAUGUGCGCGGUCCCAGCCUUAUAAGAUGAAUUUUAAGAUCAGGGCUGCACGAGUUUUUACUGACCGUAGUGUCAUGCUGUUACGGGCAGGGCAUUAUGGGAGAAAAAGCAAUUUGCUGCGGUAAAUCUCAAUGACCUCAUGAAUCACGCCCAUAUAAACAAGCCGAGAGCAGUGGGGAGACCAGCGCAAGCUGCCUGGAGAUUCACUUAAUGAACUUUCAGUUACUAACUACCUACAUACAGUCACCCUCUACUUUAUUAGGUAUACCUGUUCAAUUGCUUGCUAACUCAAGAAUUAAAUCAGCCAAUCAAACAGAAGUAACUCAGUGCCAUUAGGCAUGUAAACAUGUUCAUACAACUUGAUGAGGUUCAAACUGAAAGCUAAAAUGGGGAAGUAAGAAUAGUAGCUUUAACCUGUUGUCCUCAUUUUCUGUGUAUAGGGAAAACACAUACAAAUCUCGGUCAUUUUGACCCGAGGACAACAGGAGGGUUAAGUGCAAGACACACUGGUCCGAGUUUUUAGAAAACUAGGAAUGUAGAACGUCUGCGGAGCAAAGGUUGUAUCAGACCUAAAAACACAACACAACCAUCUUAACGAUGAUCUUAAGAUGAUAAAAUGGGAACAGCAGCUGGAAAUAAUCAGCACCAAAUAAUCAGACUUUGCAACCAAGAGACCCUUUGCAACCAUUUCUGACCACACGCAAAGCCAAACCUCAAAGCCAAUGGGCUACAGCGGCAGAAUAAUGUACCUGGUAACACGCUCAUCAACACAUAACAGGAAACUAAAAGGCUUUAGUUUAUUGAGCACGACAGAUUUCAAACUAGCAGAGCGUGUUUUUUGAGAUAUGGUGGGCAUUUGUGAAAUUUGCACCACUGAUCUGCAGCCAACAAAUCUACGGUAACUAUGAUGCUAUGAUGUCAAAAUGGUCCUAACUCUCUCCAGAAUGCUUCUGACACAAUGUUGAAUCCGUGUCACAAAGAAUUACAGGAGUUCUGCAGCCAAAACGACUGUCUAAUAAGUGGUCGGUACGUGUAAACUGACUUACACAUAAUAAUGUGCCACUGUAUUGUCACCAGCUUCAAACAACUGAUCUUGGUUGGAAAUUUUGAGAAAGGCCCACAGGUAAAAAAAAAACAACAAAAAAAAAACCUGUAGUACAUCUGAAAAAUGAUCUCUGUUCUCUAAGAAUAUCAAUCUGGAACAAAAAGACUUGCCUGACUUGAUACCAGACAACAACCUGCCUGCUUUGGGCUGUCAACAAGUACAAAACACCUGUCAUACCCCCACUGCCAAACCCUCUCUGGUAGCUCAAGCUGCUAAUGAUAAUGACAGCAAUCAAAACAUUGGCACUAAUGCUGUUAAUAGCGAGGAUGGCGCUAAUGAGGACACUACCUGGGAGGCUGUUUGCUUAAGCUGUUUUUCCUGGUUUACCCUCUGGGACCGGAGGGAAGAUGGGCCCCGGUAUCCUGUUGCAUUGUGCCUCCCGCGGCCUCCUCUGCGUCCUGAAAGGCCUUCAUCUGAGCCGGCUAACGGGCUAAUACACACCAAUAAUUACCGACGGGGGAAAUGAGGUAAUAGCAGAACGGCCUCAUGGGGUCGUGAUAUGCAACCUCCCAACCUCAGACUCUUCCUCCCUGGCGAUUUCUAGCAAGUUUCUAAACUGUGAUUUUUUUAUUUUUUUUUAUUUUGUUGUUCUCCAGUUGAGAACACACAGAGGUGCACAAAAAGAGGAAGAAAACAACACUCGGCUUAUUAAUGGAGCAAUUAAAAGUUGAAAUAUACUAGUUUGAGAUUAGUCAACUUUAAUGACUGCAAUGGCACACACACACACACACACACACAAGAAACUGACAUAGAAAAGAGCCCUUUAGCUUUUCCAUAAGGUGGUUUAUGUACAGUAUUCCUCUGUUCCCCAACAAAAAGCGGCAAGGAGGAAAGAAUGGGGGUGGGGAAUUACAAUGUUGUGGGACCACCUUUGUAAUGCUAAAUCCCAUUCUAAAUCUGCCAGAACUGAUUGUCCAUCAAAAGUAUCUGUUCACAAAAACAGAGGAUUGCAAGGGGGGCAAAUCUGGAUUUGGUGUAGGGGUGUAGAGGAUGGACAAAGCGAGACAAGGCGAUUCCAAAUGGGGAAAAAAAAUAUAUAGCACUGGAUAAAAUCAAAGCCUGUUUUGCUCAGCUUGCAGAGAAUGAAAAUAGAAGAACCAAAGGAUAAUGCUCUGCCUCUCAUCUACUGUUUCAACUGGCCACAAUAGCAAAGGGGGGUAUUAUUCAGCAGAGCUAAAACAGGAGAGGGAAAAAAAGUGUUAGAAAUGAGUCCUCCUGCCUCCAUUUGGCUUUGAAAUCUGGCAGUUGCCCUUUAAGAAGGAGAAUCUGCAGUGUCCAGUUGGGGAGGGGAGAGGAGCCCAGUCCCCUGUUCAGUCAUUAAAAGCGGUUUCUAGAAUGGCAUCCAUCUGCUGCCCCCUCAUUACUGCCAUGAGUGAUGGUGGUAAUGUUCCUAAAUACGGUACUGGCGAAUUGUCAUUGCGACCUUUGACACAGGAAGUGGACAGAAGCAAUGCCAGUAGUGUGCUGGGGACCAGAGUCCGGUCCGGCUUUCGGAGUUGGACUCGAUCCGGCCCGCCCAGCUCCCCACUCCUUCACAUUAGGUUUAAACGUCCAAUUGAUGACAAAGGAGCCUCACCUCGCCUCGGCGCCCUGUUUCUCCUUGGGGUUGACUGUGCAGCUGCCGGCAUUAAAAGAGCAGGAGGGUCUGUGAUUUUGAAGCGAUGGGGGGACUGCUCAUCACUUCUAAAUGUCGAUCAACUUCGCCUGGUUAUCUUUCUCCCCUACGGACCCGAUUCUUCUCCGUGCUGCCUUUGACAUAUGGAAAACUCAAAUGAGUAAUAAAGCGUCGCUAAAGAGAUAAGCUGUGACUCAGCGAACAGCACAUUCACCGAGGAUAAAAGCUUUUCUCCACGGCAGCCAUUUUGAUUUCACAAGCACAAGUCGAGUCUGGCAUUAUUUUCCCCUCAACAGAGAGAAAAUCUCUCCAAUGCUCAGAUUCCUCUUUUUUUUUCCUUCCUUCCUUCCCCGAGGCUUUCUUCUAAACUAAGCCUUCUUUCCUCUGCUCUCCAUCCUUAGCAGCGGAGUGUAUUGCCAUUAAUUACCUGCUUGCAGAAGCUGUGCAUUAGGCCUGCCAGGACACAGCAGAAAUGGAGCAACGCUAGAGAGAGUUUCUGUUGUUUUGGCUUCGGUGAGGAAUGUCUUACAGAGCAUGACACACAAAUACAAACAAAUAAACAAACCCCCCCCUCCGCAUUGUUGGCUCUAUAGACAAGCACACAACGGCUACUGCUAACAUGACAUCAUAUGCAUUCAGGAGUUAACCUGAAUAUUAAACAGCAAGAGAUAGACUUGUGCAGUAAAAACACACGUUGACCAGUAUGAAUACUCCACCGCCAACCAUAUUUUUUCUCUGAGGAGAGAAGCAUACAGCUCACCAAGGAUGGGCUCAGCCCUCCACCUAUCUCUAACACACCUUUCAUCAUUUUUGCAAUUCCUCCUAGUGCGAGUCUCUCCUCCUCCUCCUCCUCCUCCCUACUUUUAGUUUUUCCGCUGUAUCCCUAAGGCAUAUCCCGGAGAACCUCAGUGAUCCACCGGCUGUUUGUUUGGAGUGAAGCUGAAAGGGAGAACGAGCACCUCGAGGCAGAAGCGAAUAGAUAUGCGAGGUAAAGGGAAGCAAGGAGACGAGGACGAUGAUUGAGAUGAUAUGCGGAGAACGUUGGAGAGAGAAAGUCAGACCCGCCUUCUGUAAACUUUGGGCACUACAGCCCUCGAUCCCAACGCGUUCCAUGACACAGGCUAAAAGAGUGACCAACAGAAAUAGUUGUGAAACUGCACUCCGAGCGCCGCUAGUGGCACCUGGUAUUAAGAACCCGUUUUAAAAUUGAAUAUCCGUGAGGUCAUUAAAAGCGAUUAAGACGAAGAAGCAUAAACAGCCAAAAAGAAAAUGAGUCGGUAAGAUUCUACACUCUGUGAUUAUUUGAUUGAUUUUUCAACUUUAAACACAAAUACAAAGGAAGAUCCAAUUGCUAUUAGCUUCAAAAUGUUGUUUCUGUCUUAGCCUCUGAGGCUACAUAUCAAAAACAGUCUACUGAUAGACGGUAACCUGCAGGGUCCAUCUAAAAGGUUUUAUUUUUUGCUAAGUAACACACAAAUACUUCAAGAGUGAUGACAAAUAGCAUUAAACUGAUGUACCCUGUUGCUCAGGAAACCCAUCCACAAACACACACUUGUUCCACUCGGUAAAAAAAGGGGACACUCUAAUCCCAUAAAAAGGUGUCUUUGUGGUAUAUGAAACCGCGGCUCAGUGGUUCUCUUCAUUUUGCUGGUAAUUAUCAGACUCUGCUGGGGAGGCAAAGACAUUAAUGCUAUGUUACAAAGUGCAGGGAAGACUGAAGACACUGAGAGGAAGAGAACUGAAGGGGAAAAACGGCAACAAAGGCCUAUCAUUUAGGGUUCUUUCUCUUUAAACACAAAAAAUAAAGCCCCUCAGACACAAAUCCAAUCUCAGCUGUACUGGACGUGUCAGUGAGCAGCAAAUCAACAACAGCAAGUUUAACCAAACCCUGCUCAGAAAAAAGAAAAGUCCACGCUUCUGAUUCAAUUUCAUUAUUCCAGCUUUAAUUACUUGUCCAAUUUGGGGGCUAUUGCAUGCCUUGAUUAAAAUGGACACUAUUUAAUAACCCCAGCCCCAAUCUGAAAAAAAAAGACACACAGAACGCACCUUGAAGAUGAAAUAAUUAAAGCUGCGGGGAGAUAAGAUUCAUAUCGUCCUCUCUAACUUACUCCCUGCAAAUUGGUUGGUGCUCUACAGAGAGAGUAGAGUGAGAGCGGAAAAACAGAAAAAGUUAGAUUGAGUGACUGAGCAAAUGGUGGAAGGAUUUGAUCGAGAAGUUGUAGGUUUCGAGGAUGAGUGAGGGAGGGACAUGAAGGAAGGUGCUGAUUUGGUAUCGAUUUGACAGUUUCAGAAACUGGAACUCUGGAUGUUUUCGCACAAAUGAUAUCUGAAAUGGGGCUUCUCCCCCUUCACUCCCCCAACACACUCUCCCUUUCGGUGUUUUGAAGGGUAAACGAGCCGAAGAAUGUGCGCUGUUUCACAGAGUUUGACUUUGCUUGCGUACAGUGGUGGGGCCCCCCAUGGGGUGGGAGCGGCUAUUUAAAGCCAGGGACAGACAGCAGACUCCCUCUCUACUCCCACUAAGAUACAAGAGGAGAGAAGUGGGGCAGGACACUUCCUGCGUCCUCCACGCAAAAGCAGACACACACACACACUCUCGCUCACUUACAGUAUGCUUCAGCCAAAUGUGCUCAAGCUUCAUUGGAAACUCUUUUUUUUUUUUCUUUUUUCUAAGGACACUUUACGUUUAAAGAGAAGGCACUGGUCAUGUUCUUACCUCCGCUUAAUCAUACCCGUGGGCUUGAGGUCAUGAGCCAAAACACAAGUGUGGGAGUUUUUCACUUCCUGUCACUGAAACUGGAAAGGGCUUCGUUCAAGAACGUUGCAUCAGGCAAUAGUAGCAUCUACUGUGGACAACAGACAUAUUUAUGUAUUUUAUUUUUCCUGAUGUUGAGAGCAUGUCGGCACGAAGGGAGAAGCAUCUGUGUGGGAAUCCGCGAGUGUUUGUGGGGCUCCCGUAACAAGCUCUAACCCAUGUGCCCUCACGGCCUUGCCUAGCAAGGGUGCCAUGGUUCGUUAAGCUGGCAAAGAUGAUAGGGCUUGACAUCUAUUUACCGCCGCCACACAAACAUAAACAGGCACACACAAAUGGCCCACUUUGGCCAACGGGAUCACCUCUGGCUAUUUUAUGACUUUCUCCCUUUGACUCAUUUCCUUCCAUUACAACCCCCCCCCCCCCCACUAUCCUCCGUUGCAGAUCCCUCUGUCACGCCUUUGCUCGCUGUCUGCACCUCCAUACCGGUCUGGAACGAUUAGUGUCGUACCCGGCUAUCGGGUGGAGACAUCGAGGAGGUGAGAUUUGUGGUGCACUACAAUGAAUUCUAUAUAAAAAAAAUAAUAAAUCCCUGGCGUGAUGGCUUUUUGUGAAUAAAAUAUGGAGAAGAGCAAAUACGAUAAAUGAUUCACAUGCUGCUGAAAACAUGAAGUUUACCUCUGCAGUCAUUAUUUCACAUGUCAGGUUUGAAACUUCAAUGGAGUGCAUAUUUAAAUGAGCUCUGUGCUAAGGAGAUUUAACAAAAAUGUUUUACAUACAAUAUCUUCUUCAAGGGGAAAUUGGAAGUUUGUGAAUGAAAACUGACUAUGUAGAAGGACUAAUUUUAGCUUCUUAGCCAAAAAGCUAAAAAGUAAUGCAUUUUAACAUAUUUUUAAAUUGAAAUAUAUCUAAGAUUUGAAAAUACAAGGUAAGCUUUAAAGAAAAACACAAACACUUUCCAUCUUCUGUGGCCAAACACUUAUUUCAUCAAAGGCCUAUUUGUUCAAACACCUUUGCAAACACUUGCUGUAUUUCUUUCCAUUUGAGCUUUAAUACCAAAAGAAUUUUAUGAUACAGAGUUCGCAGCAAUAAAACACACAAAAGAGAGGCCACAUGUGAGCUAAAGGCCUAUUUAAAUUUUAUAUGUGGUGUUUAGCCUGCUUAAGCAUUUUACUGGGGCUUUCAGAGUUCUCUGUGAAAGUGAUCCAAAUGAAUCAAGCAGGGUGAGAGCCUAAUGCAGCGAGAUGGCCUGAGUGAGCAGGGAGAAUCACAGCUUGCUACCCUGGACUCAGGCAGACCAGAGGCGUCUAGGUCAGCACAUUUGAAGUUAAAAUCAUUCCUAAAUGGGUCUUCAGACACCCUCAAAUGAAGUCGACAGACAGUGCUGACCUUUUCAAACCAUACUGUCUGCAGUAAAGAGGGUGAAAGGGGUAAGAGAAGGAGUGCCAGACCUGAAUAGUUUAAAGUCCUGAUUGAAACUUUUCUCGUUCUUUUUUUUUUUCUGGUUUUGCAGCAGAGCCAAAUCCCUAGGAGAGAAAGAAAAGACGUGGGAAGGAUCUUGAUGUGUUGACGUGCUAUUUUUUCCCCCCCUCAUAACAGUAAAAUUCCCUUUUUGUUUUUUUGGGCAAUGUCUUUAUGUUCAAAUCUAGGUUACAACAAGAGCAGGGGUGCUGGAAUUUUUCUUUUUUGUUUGGAGAUCGGGGGCAUUUCCGUUUGCAACCUGCAAUUAAAUUAAACGACCCGAGCACCUCUCGGAAUCGUUUCUAUGGUGAAGGGGACUAGUGAAAGGCCAAGGUCAAAGGCAUGAGAUGCCAUGUCUCUCGUUACAUCAUUUGUUUGACCCCCACUAGAACUAGCUAAUUCAAUCACUCUCAAGAAUCCGCAAUUAAUCCGAGACAUUGAAAACGACGAAAAGGAAAAACGUCUGGGUGAAUAAGCGGCUCUCCUCCACUCACAUGCAAAUCACAAGCCUACCACAGGGGUGUACCACCAGCCCUCUCCUCUACUCCGAUUUUCGCAAACGGAAGUUUAAGCAUUCCCAACAACAGCAACACCAUUGUCAAGUUUGCAGAUGAUUGCCAGCAUCAUAUGACCGAUCAGCUAAAACAGCGGAUGAGCCUACAUGAAGAAGGGCAAGCAUUUGAACACAAGAGGUGGUAAUGGAGUUUAGAAAAUAACUAAGCAGACUUCACAUUCUGCACCAAUACGGACACGGCAGAGAGGAUGAAGACCUCCGUGUUUGUCGGGGUCCACAUCUCUGCUGACCUCAAACGAUCCACAAAACAUCUCACACUAGUUGAGGAAGGUCCACUGCCAGAUGUUUCUGCCAGGCCCGCCUCCUUCGACUCCGCUGAUUAAGUACCUCCAUAACUACUGCUGGGGAUCAGCUGCUCCUCUGCUAGAGUUGCCAGGGCAGCAGAAAAAUCAAAUGAGAUUACAAUGCCUCCCCUUAGGGACAUUUACAGUUGCGCACUCCAGCAGAAGGCUGGUAGUAUCAUUCAAGACCCCCAUGUUCACUGGACACUCACCUUUCUCCCACGUCCCUUCAGGAGGACACUGCAGUUACCUGCCCCGAUUGUCUGAAUUAAUUAUUGUUUAUGGUUUGUCGUAUGUGCUGUGAUUGCAUUUUAUGCUGAUCUCAUUUUUAUGCUGCGAAUCAAAAAUCUGUUUUCUCAUUAUUCUUGGACCCUAUGCUGUGUUCUUUACAACUUUAUGAGUGUAAUUUCUGCUAAAAACUCAGCCUCAUCGGGUCUUAAUAAAUCUCCCCCCCAAUCCCCAAGUGCUCGAGUGUAUGAGUUAUUGCGUAUGCAUGACACGCCUCGGCUGGGAAAUUUGUGUCAAGCGAGCAGGUGGGGCAGUCAUCAAUGAAGACAAUUAAACACCUCGGAGGCACCCAGCCAAAUCUUCUCUCUGUCCCUUGCUUCUGUGUAUUCUCCCCUCCCUCUUCCAUCUACCCUCUACUCACGCUGCCCCUGACAGAUGAUAAUUCAGUGGGAGUGGAAGGGGUCGCGGCCUGACAGGGAAGGGCAUCAUCAGCUGUGAUAACCAUCGGCGGACGCAGACAGUCAACAAGUUGGCAGUUUACGGAAAAUAAAAAUACAAAAAAUAAAAAGCAACAGAGGUGAGGAUAACUUUUCAAAGGCGAUCGAAUUUGCGCGUCAAACGCGGCGGCACUAUUCGAAUUAACGCUGAAUCAUUGCGUUUCGGUGAAGGGUGACGAGGGUACGCCCUGUGCUCCGAUGACGCCACACUGCUUACUCAUCCUAACUUGACUCCCUUGUGUACGCGGAGUCAAACGCGAGGAGGCAAAGGCACGGAAAAGUAUCUCGGGACCGAGGUCAAAGGGGCUCUCGGUUUCACCGUCAGAUGCUUGCUAAUUACAAGGGGGCCGAUGUGUAUAGUCGCCGGAAUAUUCUAGAAGGACAAAAAUACUUCAGUCACUUCCAUGUCCUCAAAGGAGGGAUUAUAGUUCAACACUAGAGAGAGACGGAGAGAGAGCGAAAGGGGAAAGAAGAAGAAAAAUCAGUGUCACAAAUGGGGAUCGACUGUCAGCCUAACUAAUUAUCCACUCUGAAAAGAGCAAGCUUCAUUUCCCGGACUUAUGUCGAGGGGAAUCAUUUGUGGCGACCUCAUCCCUGCCUUUAUGAAAAGAAACAUUAAAUUCAUAAUAUCAGCAACCCCCCCACCCCCACCUCUUCCUGCCAUUCUCUGCAGCUCCCUUCACUGAGGCCCUCAUUUUGACGGCUAAUUCCGGUGUUUUCAUUACAGAGGCUCGGGCUUAAUUCUGAUGCAUAUUAGCGUAUUACAAGGAGGGAAGCGGGGACAGGAGUGGGGGGGGGGAGUAACCACGACAGCGCCCGGCAUGUAUCGGCGCUGACUCGUGGGAUAAACCAUGUAAGCUUCAACAACCCCAUGGUUACUAGACGCACCGAGGAGUCUGCUGAGCGACGGCUUCAACGCGGCUUCCACAUAUUAGCGCCACUUUAAUGUGCUGACACCAUUAGCUUUGAGUCUUUAACGCGAACGGCGGCUGCACCUCUGAUCCAAGAGAAAAAGGAGAGCAGCAAGGUCAAAGCCGGGGCAGUCGUAUGAUCGAUGCUAACGCGAUUAGUGACGCGCUAGCAUUCAACCAGACGCCUCAGCAGCUCUCCUGAGGAUGCCGGUUAUGGGCUCUUCUCUCCACAGCGACACGUGAACCUGGGAGCAGACGUGUGUGUGUGCGUGUGUGUGUGUGUGUAGGCUGCUGAGGAGCGAGCCCGUGGUCCAUAAUCCAUUUACGACUGUAAACCUGGAGGAGGGGGAAGACAUUUACUGUCAGGCAGCACUUGCCACAGACGCUAUAUCAUCUCCCCUGUCAGCGGCGCACACAUUCCCCGCCUGAAACGGUUCCAGCUACAGGGUUGAGUUAGAAACAUCACUUUUAAAACUUGGGUUUUUCAUCUAACUUUAAUAAAAGGCUGUAGUUACUGAUGAGCACGGUUUCCUUUUUUUUUUUUUGGUGGGGGGGAAAUCAUACCCAAGAUUUUUGGAAGAUUAAAUCUGAUUAAAGCAAAAUAAGGUCGACCCAUUAAUGCAUUUUGUUUUACUUCUGGAUGUUCAUACAAAACAGUGUAUAUCAAAUUAAACAUCUAAUUUGCAUAAUAAAGAGAAUUACACAUAUAAAAAAAUUGCAGUUCAUCUAAAUGGCCAAUAUCUGUGAAAAAAAAAUCCAUGUCUUUAGGGGGUGAUUUCACCUGAAGUGUUUUUGUUUUCUCAUGCACCAAUCAGGCAUGACAUGAUUAUCUCCCUAAUACUAUUUUACCCCUCAUUACUGCCAAAACAGCCUGCAGACUCAUGGACCCUAAAAGAUCCGAAAAGAUUCACUGCAGUAUUUUGUAACAAGUUGUUAGCACUAGAUUCAUCAAUAGUUGUGAGUUGGCGCCUCGACAGAUUCUGAUCUGUUUGCCCAGCAGUCGCUAGGAUGUUCGACUGGAUUGAAGUUCUGGGGGAAAUCGGAUGCCAGGUCGACAUCAACAGCAUCAAUGAGCCUUGGCCACUCAAGCCUCUGAUAUCGGCUCACUACUGCUCCUCCACUUUGAACACAUACGGACCACUGCAGAACAACCAGAGCUGCAGUUAUGGAGAUGCUCUGACCUGUUAUGAUUUGGCCCCUUUGCCAAACUUGAUGAAAUUCUUGUAUUUGCUCAUUUUUUCCCCUGCUUCUACACAUCAACUUUGAGUAGAAACUGUUAACUUUCUAUUAUGUCAGAUCUGAGUACGUCAAACUUAGCCAUUUAAAUAAAAGUUGAAGUUUAAUUGCAUCUAUUUUUUUUUAUUACCAAAGUUUGCUAGUAUCCCAUUCAUAACUUGAUUCAUAUAACAUUUUACUAUUGAAACCAGAGUGAAGCCAGCAGACUCUUAAAAGUGUAUUUUCUUUUUCAAUUUAUGUAGAGCGGUUCAAAACCCCGACAACAAAAACCUUUUACUUUAAUUUACAAACAAAAUCUGACAAGAAUUUAAAUGGUCGCAUCAUCAUAAAGUGCUUAGAUUCUUGUGCUUGAAAUGCAUGCAAAUCAGUGUUGUUGCUUUUUUUUUUUUUUUUUUUUUUUACAUAAAUAGCAUCUCAUUUGAAUAGUUAAACCUAUUUUCACAGAAAAGCAAUAAAAGACUGAUUUGCCUCAGUGUAGGUAAUCACUGUAUCUAAUGGGCAGCGCUGCCAUUUUCGUGACCUCUGACCUCUACUUUCGUAGAUUCGUUGUACUCUAGCGCUUUGUCAAUAAUAUAUAAAACAAUAAUAAAAUAAAUAUUUCAAAUAAUUCAAAUUUCACCAAGACUCUCAGGGAAGCCGAUUUGACCUCGGAGGAAACCUAAAUAAUAAAUACGACGGACGCGCUCAGCCUCGGGAGACCCGGUGCUUUUCAAACAUGCCCACUCAUCUCACAGCUCAGCUUUAUUCCACUGGCCUUACGCGGCGUGGAUAAAAGGCACAGUUGGCCUGAACUGCAGCCAGAGGAUUGAGACUUUUUUUUUAAGAAGGGCUGACAUUUACCCAGAGUACACUAAGCUAUUUGGCCUCACAGCAGUCACUCAGCCGCCCUGCGCCCUGCUACUCUUGCCGUGGCAUAUGGGUGCCAUUUAAGACGAUGUGAGGGGUGCAGUAUUUGGUUGAGGAUGUAUCAAGACAAAAAAAAGAAAAGAAAAAAAAACUCCACACAUUAACACUGUGACACACAGUCCGUUUCCCAUUAUGCAAACAUCUCCUCUCUCUCGUGCUAUGUGCCUUCUCGCAGACCUGAACUUUCGUUAUUAGACAGGGGCUCUCUAGCAACGGCUCCUUUUGAUUGUCACUGGUGGCGGCUCCUGUGAGCAGGUGUGACGGCCUCGCCAGCAGAAUUCGCUCUAGCAGGGACAUGCAAUUAGCCGACUCUCAGACAUCUAUACCUGUUGAGGUCUGUUUGCUCCAGCAGUAGAAAAGUACAUCAUUAAGAGCUUUUUUUUUUUUUUUGUCGCUUCGUGCCAGACGGGGGAGACAGCAGCUUUAGAUCAAGCUAUGUUCAGUGCAAAUAUCUGUCCUUAGAUAUCCAAGGUUGUCUGCUCAGUCCAGACUGAUUUUGCUCCUAUAGUGCUGGGUGUAAAACAACACUUUGUAGUUUUCCGUCUGAGGCAAAAAAAUAAUAAAAUAAAAUAAAAAAUUAACCAAGAAUGAGGAAGACAUUGAGUUUAUGUUGGAUUUUGUGUACAGGUGUGUCUGGGGCAUUAUGAAAAGAGUUAAUUCAAAUAUAACCGGCUUGCAUUUCUGAAUCGACGAAGCGACUUCUGUAACUUCUGUUUGCAGCGUCAUUAAAUGACAGUUUGAGGUGAGGAACCGUUCGGCCAUAGAUGAAGCAUUUCCAAAUACUAACCCGUAGCUAAGGAAAUUUAUCGAUUCAAUAAUUUUGGUUUUGCGCUGAAAACCAUUCACUGUUUUUAUAUCAUAAAUAGUGGUCAGCCUAUAGCUUGGUCAUGAUUUCUGUCUUCAACUGAAUUCUGAGUUCUUCUACAAACAACUAGUAUUUUUUUUUAUCCUCCAUGAAGCAGCUCAUCUGAUCUGGUUAUAAUCCAAAGUUGAAAAUUCCCCACAUAACAACCUGUCCGGCUAGUUGACAGAAAAUGAGAUUUCAACUGAAUUCAUAAAAGGAAUUUGCAACAUCAUUAACAAAACACUGUUGCUGCUAAAAUAGCAGUCAUUAUUGUUUGUAGAUCCUGCAGGAAACAGCUUGUGCAGUUGGCAGGUGUUAUUUGUAGCCAACAACUCUGGAGCACAAAAUUCUUGUUCAGCACGGUUCCCGAACAUCACCAGCUUUCAGCUGAAUUCAUAAGCAUCUUUCGCCACCAAGUCCAUAAACUCCUUUAUAGUCAUUAGCUUGUGUUUCUCGACGCUGAAGGGAAUCUGCGCUUGUGCAACUCCUGUUUGCAGCCGGUUCGGUAAAUAACACUCUGAGGUAGAAAAUGAAGAGGAUUCGGGAACAUUAAUUAAUAUGUUAAUAUUUUAUAACAAUUACAAUGGUAAUAUUAAAACUGUUUGCGGAUAUAAUACAGAUGCCUUUCCUAAAGUGUUUAAAAUACAACAGAGUGAGUAAAAACGAUGUAGCUCUAAGAUGGUUAUUUGGCUAUUAAAAUGUAAACCUGUCCCUUGUUGUGUUUGUUGUAUACAACCAGCAAAAAAAAUGACUCUAGCACUAUGAGUGCCGUGGUGGAAAAAAUCCGCUACCCAUGGAAAAUAGCCCUGCUGUAACUUAGACACAAACUUAUCCCUUCAAUAAGCGGCUGAAACUUUCCCACCAAAUCUCAUGGCAACACAACAGCGCUCACAGACACCGUCGGAGUUAUUAAUCUAUUAUUAGCUGCUGAGGCGGCUGCAGCUUCCCCUCGCCGUGCUCGCCCCAUUCCCACCCCGGCGACACAGGACUGUCAUCAUAGAUGACUGGCUUCUAAUUGGAUACAGUGGAGGCCGCAUCCGAGCUCCGCGUGCUGGGAGCGGCCAUCGAGUGCAGCGGAAUCAAAUUUUCAAUUAAGCGAGCCCCAAAAUGCCAGAACUAACGUUUCUCAGUGAGAAGCCAAGCUGAUUACUCUGCGAAUCACAUCUGAGGGGAGGUUUUUUUUUUUUUUUUUUUGCAUAAACUGAUUACAACAAGAUGACUGAGGAGAAGCAACGGCGACAAGAGCACUGGAUGGGGGUGCGGACCGAUCCGGAACAGAAAAUGGGGGGUUAGGGGGUGGAGUUGGAGCACCUGUCUUUUCCGUCUCCUCGAAAGAAAAAAAAAAAAGAAUACUGAUUUAGCUGUUUUUGCUGAUGAGUGGAAGAAAAACAGUAUGCCAACACCCAGCACAAGGACUCACGCUACAUAAAUACAUAAAUAUAGACAUGUACUGUAUAUAGUUGAAAUGGGGAGGGGGGAUUGGGGGGGGAAUGGGAGAGAGAGAGAGGAAAUGGCGAGGCAGCUGUUAAAACAUAGCUCUUCCCAGUAUCAGACGAGACUUGAGAGGAAAUAUGGUGCAAUUUUUUACAGCUCCGUGCCUGUCAGGGUGAGUAAAGAGACCCCUGUCCGGCAGACCUUUGCAGUCUACACACGCAUCUCGCUCUGGUGUCACUGAGUGGGUUGUGAACAUUUGCCUUUUUUUUUUUUUGCCUGAUUUAAAACAACUUGUUUGUCAGUAGUUCCUGCAUCGUUGAAUUUUUUUUAUUUUUUUUCAGUUUCUCCCAGGGAGCACAUUAGUCUGCGACCCUCGUCUUCACUCCAACACAAACAAGAGAUUUCAUCUCUGAAAAUGGUGGGAAAUGUUCAUAUUGCUCCAAUGAUUCUGCCUUUGCUCUCGGUAUUAGUUUUGCCGAUAUGAUAAAAAAAAAUAAAAAAAUCAAAAACGCAAUUCAUCAGCAGCAACAGAUUUCUUUAGCAGUUUGUCUUUUUUUUUUGUUUUCUUCAGCUCCCAUGCGUGUUGUGUGUCUGCAUGUGCAGAAGAAAAUGUGUAAGCAUUGCAUUUCAUUAGGAAGUCUGCCAUCUGGAUGGUAACUAUGCUUUUUCUUCUCUCCCUCUCUCAUGAUUCUCUUUUUUUUUUGCCCUAUUCACACAAUUGGUACAUUAGAUUAAAUUUAAAUGAUCUCCUGCAUGCGCGGACCGAUGCGCACGCACGCACGCACGCAUGCACACGUUAUCGCAAAAAAAAAAAGGGAAGACUCUGUUCCUCGGGUUGCGUAAUAUCCAGCGGAGGAUACAAUGGCGUCUGUUGCACUCCCACUCGCGCCCUCUCUGUCUCCCGCUUUCCUAUUAUCACCUUUGCCAAAGAAUAAACACUCUGACUCGGGGAAUUUCUAUCAAAGCUCCAAACUGCCAAAAAAGAAAAAAAAGCACGCUGUCUUCAUUUUUGCAAUCCUUUGCAAAAAAAAUAAAUAAAUCUGUUUUUAUCCGCUCUAUAGUCUUUCACCCUUCUGCAUCCUCUAACAACACCCCGCCCUCCACAUGCCAACUCUCCCUUGAUGCACUAGAAACAAAUUGCUUUGUCCACACGCGGAGUUCAGCCAGAGCACAUGAGCGUCGACAGCUAUAGUCUUUUCAAGAGGAGGGAUGCUCCGGGGUAGGGGAGGGGGGGAUUACUGCAUGUUUGUAUUAAGGUGGAUUAGGACUUUGAUGCUAAUGAAAGGUUUUGACAGUGGCUUUUUUUUUUUUUUCCUUUUUUCUUUUCCAAACUGGUCAGCGAGUCUUAAGCCCAGAUAAUGUGUGUAAGACCAAAAUGAAAUCACCAGAAGCCGGGGUAGUAAUAAUCAGAAAAUCACUGGGAGUGGGAGGGAGAAAAAGUGCAAACAAUCAAGAAAUGUCUGUAAAACACAAUUUUCGAUGCAAAAAAAAAAAAAAAAUCCAUCUGUUGUUAAUGCGUAUAAUCUGCAGCUGCUUUUGAUUAAGAUUAAACUCAAAGCCCUGUGGGUGGUUAAAGCGGGGCAGCAGCUUUAUUAUUAUUAUUUUUUUUUUUCUUUUUCAUAUAAAGAUGAGUGAUUUCAGCGGCGGUUUGGAGAGUGCAGAACAAGGUGAGAUGUAUGCGUGCAUGCGUGUUCUUGCUCCAUCUGCAGUCACUCAGGGAUUAAGAUGAUCUAUGCUGCCACGAGUCGACUUCAGAUUCACAACUUGUGACGUGACGGAGCCAUCGUUCAUCGUUCAUCCGUCCAUCUCUUCCCCGCUUUUCCGCUCGCCGCCGGUUAAAGCAAGAUACUAAACGUGUCGCCGUUGGCUUAACUUUUGGUGUCUCGUAAAACUCCCACCCAAUGUGGCUUUUCCAGCUCGCUGCUUUCAGUGUAAACAAAGUGGACCAUUACAGCCAUCAAUAUUUUUACUAUCAACUCCAUAGUUGUUUUUCUUUUUUGUAAGAAAAGAGAAUUUCCACCGAUGGCAAUUCGUCAAAGUAUUUGUUCUUUUAUCGAUUUUUCCCUACUUUGCUUUGUGACACACUAAAAUGUUUCAGAUCCUCAAAUAAAAACACAGACAAUGAUUAUCAGAGGAGUCGCCAAAAGGUUUUUUUUUUUUUUUUUCAAAUGACGAUUUUCUUUAUUAAAGCUAAACAGCUAUCAAAACCUGGUCCUUUGUCAAAAAAUAUGCUUUAGAUUACAACAAAAGUGUUCUUUUGUGACUUUGAUGAAUCAUCAAGAAGCUCUUGAGUCAUUUUAGUUGGCUUGCCAUUCUUGGAAAGGUACAUCACAGUUCCAUGUUUUCUCCACUUGUGGAUAAUGGCACUCAUUGUUGAGUCACUGGAGUCUCAAACCCUAUGAAUAGUUUGUUUUUUAAGCCCUUUCCAGCUGAUAGAUGUUUUAUUCGUAUUUUUUUUUGUUUGCUUUGUCUUGUUUAAUGGAUCAUGUAUUGCUUUGUGAUAUAUUUGCAUGUUAAUCUUCCCACAAUUGUAAGAGAUGGGGUCCAUUGAACGCCGCACUUUGCUCAGUCUCUACGGAGUCGGUCCUUCAUAGCAUCGCGCUAAGACUGCGGGACGGUUAAAAAAAAAGUUGUGUGUAAGUGAUUUAUUGCAUGAUUAGAUCUUGCUGAAGCAAAAAAAAAGAAAAAAA